GAUGAACGCUGGCGGCGUGCUUAACACAUGCAAGUCGAACGAUGAAGCCCAGCUUGCUGGGUGGAUUAGUGGCGAACGGGUGAGUAACACGUGAGUAACCUGCCCUUAACUCUUGGAUAAGCCUGGGAAACUGGGUCUAAUACCGGAUAGGAGCGUCCACCGCAGGGUGGGUGUUGGAAAGAUUUAUCGGUUUUGGAUGGACUCGCGGCCUAUCAGCUUGUUGGUGAGGUACUGGCUCACCAAGGCGACGACGGGUAGCCGGCCUGGGAGGGUGACCGGCCACACUGGGACUGAGACACGGCCCAGACGCCUAAGGGAGGCAGCAGUGGAGAAUAUUGCACAAUGGGCGAAAGGCGGAUGGAGCGACGCCGCGUGAGGGAUGACGGCCUUCGGGUUGGAAACCUCUUACAGUAGGGAAGAAGCGAAAGUGACGGUACCUGCAGAAGAAGCACCGGCGAACUACGU
This 465-nucleotide ribosomal RNA is filed under the name uncultured bacterium. RNAcentral describes it as "partial 16S ribosomal RNA". It matches the Rfam family "Bacterial small subunit ribosomal RNA", at positions 28 to 506 of the family's 1533-position model. The record is from RNAcentral.